Molecule: ribosomal RNA, 433 nt
Filed under: uncultured bacterium
Lineage: Bacteria
Description: partial 16S ribosomal RNA
Rfam family: Bacterial small subunit ribosomal RNA
Source: RNAcentral
AACGAACGCUGGCGGCAUGCCUAACACAUGCAAGUCGAACGAGACCUUCGGGUCUAGUGGCGCACGGGUGCGUAACGCGUGGGAACCUGCCCUUAGGUUCGGAAUAACUCCCCGAAAGGGGUGCUAAUACCGGUUAAUGUCUUCGGACCAAAGAUUUAUCGCCUUUGGAUGGGCCCGCGUUGGAUUAGCUAGUUGGUAGGGUAAAAGCCUACCAAGGCGACGAUCCAUAGCUGGUCUGAGAGGAUGAUCAACCACACUGGGACUGAGACACGGCCCAGACUCCGACGGGGAGCAGCAGUGGGGAAUAUUAGACAAUGGGCGAAAGCCUGAUCCAGCAAUGCCGCGUGAGUGAUGAAGGCCUUAGGGUUGUAAAGCUCUUUUACCCGGGAUGAUAAUGACAGUACCGGGAGAAUAAGCUCCGGCUAACUCCGUG